Molecule: long non-coding RNA, 285 nt
Organism: Acanthaster planci (crown-of-thorns starfish)
Lineage: Eukaryota; Metazoa; Echinodermata; Asteroidea; Valvatida; Acanthasteridae
Source: RefSeq, a predicted model, not a curated record
AGAAAGGCCUACCCUCUGCACUCACUGUUAUGAAGACUUAACAGAAAGAAAAAGCUAAAGGGGUGGUCCUCGGUGAUGACAGGUGCGAUGGGGUCAUGUGACAUGGCGGAGCGAAGCAGGUCACUCAACCGAGACUGUGCCUGGCAUUGGUAAACUGGUGCAAGGAAUGUGGCAUCAUCUACGUGUGGGUUGCCAAAACCUUUGCCGUUGUCAAGAAACAGGACACAACCCCGUCUCUUAUAUCUCCGCAUCAUGUCAAAGUGAUGUCGAUCGUAAUUUCCUGUU